Molecule: long non-coding RNA, 757 nt
Organism: Pezoporus flaviventris
Lineage: Eukaryota; Metazoa; Chordata; Aves; Psittaciformes; Psittacidae
Exons: 4
Source: RefSeq, a predicted model, not a curated record
CUUGUUUUGUUCUUGGUUGCUUAACUCAAGGACAAAUCCUCUGAGGAAGGAAAAGCAACUUUAAGGUUAUAAUUGACUCCCAGGAAUUCUGAACAUAAUGUCUAUAAUUAGACACAGAAAAAAAUCAAGGUAGCAUUGUGUUUAUUUCACUGGCUCCAUCUCCUGUGCUUUUGGCACUGUGGCUCUUCUGCUGAGCUUCAGACAGUUGACUGAGCUGUUAAAUUAUUCUUCACCAGGAUAAACAGCUGAGGAAGCCCCACAGCUCACUCAAGCACAGUGCUUCUGUCCUCGGGAGGACCGGUUUUGAUGACCUAGUCUGAUUACAGCAUCUUUGACAGCUUUAAAGGAAUUUGCUCGGGGGAAGGAGACAGCUGCUGCUCUGAUGAAGGAUUUUUCUGAGCAGGCCUCCCAAGCUAGACAUGUCAGUAUGAGAUGCUGCCAACAUUUUCCGUCAUGACCAACAGGUUGUUAAACCGCAAUCAAAAGGACUUAGUAGGAAUGGAUCUGUCCCUGUUAUGAGGUUUGAACUCCUGACAUCCUUAUUCACUGGAAUUUGACUGCCCAGGACGCAGCAGAGAGGGGAUUUUGAGAGCAUGUUUCACACGCCCUGCAGCUGUGAGCCGGUUGCAGCAUGAGGAAAAGCCCUCCAUCACCUCAAUGUACAGGAAAGAGAAGGUAAGGUGACUCUCUCCAAGUGGCUUUUAGAUAUGGUACAUUCAGUGAAGACCCCCAGCCUAGUGAAAUCUGUUCUCCACCA